CCGUCGGGGGACUCUCGCUAAAAGAAGAAAUGAAGAAAAAAAAAAAAGAAAAAAUAGAAAAUGAAAAAGAGCUAAACGUCAGCCUUGAACAACGUCAUCGACGCUUGCAGCAACGGUUUUUAAAAUAAAAAAACACGGCACUUUUUAUCCCUUUACCCCACUCUACGCUUCAUAGAAGUAUUUACGCGAGCUGACUGGUUACAAUGUGACACAAGUGGUAUAAUAAAAGUGGCUAAUAAGCCGCGCCGGUUAUUACGAUUAUUAAUAUCGCGGAGCUAGAUCAUUAAAUCGCGAUAAUCGCGCGGAGCAAAACGAUCGCUGACUGAAAAGGAACAACUCGCGCUCGUUGCCUGUACACAAAGAGCAGAUACACGCGGUACCUGUAUUCUCCUCCCGUGCCAGACAUUCCCCCAUCCUUCCAUUCUAUUUUUCAACCUUCUUCAAUUCUUUUUCUCUUUCCUCUCUAUCCUCUCUAGCCAGUCGGAUGUUCCGAGAUAGUCGUUCUCCAUCUUCUGCCGCGUUCUACUAACGUCCACUCUUUUUUUUAAAGCUUCUACAACUUUUUUCCAUUGGCCUUUUCGGUCUUUUACUUUGUACGGUCGUACAGGAGAUUCGGAGGUUCGUUCACCUCGAACCUCGGUCGUCACAGACUCCUAUAGAAACGUGUACGCAUUGGUCGUGUGUAGACCGCGUCUAGCUAACCUGGAAUAACGCUUCUCCUAUCCGAGAUCGUGGCUCAGAGACCGGACUUUAAUUCGACAUUCCACGGAUCCCUCCACGCGGCGGCGGCGUUUCCUUGCACUUGGUUUCUCACCGCCUCGAAAAUUCUCCUCCGACUCCUGAACCGUUCCACGUUAUGCACUACCGUCGCACUGGAUGUCCUUGUACCGCCGCAAUUCCGUUUGCCUCGAUUAUGAUCCGUUCGCGGGUCGAUUACGUCAAAACGCGCUCUCGAGUAAACUCGUGGAUCGAAGCUGGAGGUUGACCGUGACGGAUUUUCCUAGUUGUCGGCCGUUUCGGGAUUUCCAUGACCGAUCGAUCGAUAUUAGUCAUCCGAUUGAUACAAGCAACACAACAGGAAACUCUCGUAACGAGCAACUCUCUCGAAUCUAUAUUCUGCAUUCAAAAUGUUCGAAUUUAAAUGUAAAUCGAAAAUUCGCGAAAUUACCGAGCCGAGCCGUGGAAUCAUCAGCUCGCAGGCAUCGCGGCAACCUUUCGCGGCGUCGUGUCGCGUAGGUGGUGAAUAAAAAACGCAACCUGCGGGAUAGUGGCUGCGUGGUGGGGUCUGCGAAAGAACGUUGGAGGGAGGUUUGAAAAGGCCAAUAUCGGCACGGUGGUAUCUGGUGACUCUGCCAGAGGUAAAUAGGCCAUGGCCGUCCUCGUGGUUGUCGUCGAUCGUCGUCGUGUGGUCGCUCGCGCAACACGAAAUUCCCUCGGAGCGGACGAGUAAACGUUCUCGCCUGGCUAAACGUCUCCUCUCUGAUGGUGUAUCUUAGACGAACGAUAUCACGAUUAUAGCAGCCAGGCAAUCAUCAUCGGGAUGUGUUCGAUGUGCAUCGAAGGUCUGGCCAGGCAACAAGCGGCAUAAUGCCAACCAGUGGCAUUUACGCCGGCAAGACCACCUUUGCCUCGACUCUCCUAUCUCUCUCUAUUUCACUUGACGGUUCUCUGUCCCACCAACGAUGUUCUUUCUUUUCUAUCCCUCUUCUUUCUCCUCUUCCCUCCCUACUUACGUUGCUGUAGUCAUUCUCUCGAUCUUUUUCCUUCUUUCUCUCCGUUUCGAUCGUGGUCGAGGUGCACGAGCUGCUGCUUCUUUAGCGUUCCAUUACCAGCGUUCUAUGGAAUGCAUCGGUCUCUCGCAACACCUACGAACCUGGAAUUCGCGGAAUCAGACAGAGUCUUUGGAUUUGAUACCGUUUUGGAGUAAACUUCUCUUUUCCCAUUUAAAACCGCAGUAGUUCGUUUAUUCUUGCGGAAUAGAUAGCGUAUUUUGAAAUCGGAUCACAGCUGUCGUCGUUUUAACGAAAUUUUGUUUUCGUCGCAAUAGCUUCUCUUGAUUUUUGGAUCACGGCCAAGAAUUGUUUCGAGUUCGUUCUAUUCACGCGGAUUUGGAUUCAUCCUAUUUAUUCAGAUUCGGGCUCAUCUCCUUUGCCGUGCUACGGACGCCGUGCUGGCGGACGUAUAACAAGGUAGGAGCAGCCGCAGGAAUUUCCUUCGGCCGGUAGUAAAAUCCUCUUCUACCUAAUUGUACGUGACUCAUCCGCAUAAUCUUGCUCCUUUCUAAUAAAAUCCCUGGACCAUGUUGCUCCGGGCUGCCCGAGAUUAAACUAUUUUUGUUUCAAGAGGGAAAUUUUUUAAGAAAUCUGAUCGUUCGAGAAGAACCAAACAACCAUCCAGGCAAGGAAGAAAAAACAGAAAAGUAUAAAAUAAAAAAGAAAGGAAGAAAAGAGAAUCGAAGCGAGUGUUGGUCAAUGUGGUCGAACUUCUCUCUUUCCGUCGGUAGUCGGUAGCUAGGUAUACGAAGUGAUCGCGUGGUGGUGCUGACCUAUGGUGGCAGAGAAGUAGCGGUGUGUCGCGUAGAACGGUGCCAGAGUGGUGGUGAGCGGCUCGCCUUGACGAGAAAAUCACGUGGCCGCGGGAAAUGACUUGUUAUAUAAACUAAUGAUUAUCCGGGUACUUGUGCAUUGCCGUGUGUCUAAACCAAUGAGUCCGGCACAGGUUGAUCAGCCCUCUGCUCCCUACAUAUGUACACACAAUAUCGAUAGUCCCUGUACGGUAAUCUGCAGGGUCCUCGAUUUUCUCUGGCGACCGGGACACAGACCGCAUGCACAGCUCAUUAUCACGGCAGCUCAUUUAACUUACGGCCAACAGAUAACACGCGAGAUAACGGAUAACGCCCCCGAGACGCCGCUCUAAUAAUAAUAUAUGAGGCAAGCAGGCGUUGCGGCCACCUCGAUCGUUCCCGAGCAGGAAAUUCAGUCGGCAGAUAAGGCCCAAGGAGAUCGAGAUGUCACGUUGGAACGCGAGAUUCAUCGUCCCGCAGCUCGUGCAACUUUACUUCCUCGCACUUUGAAUAUGCAAACAGCCUGUUGAAUGUUACCGGCAUCGGGAACCGAUUGUCAGCCAUUCGUUUUAUAAUCCAAAACACGUAGUGUUAAUGUCUCGUCGAUUUUGAAACGAGAAUUUCAACCUUCGUUCGUUUUUUAUAUAAAUUUGAGACGAUGCGAUAAAUGUAAAAAACAAAACGCUUGCGAAAACAUAUAAAUUUAUAUAAUAAACGAACGUAUAGGAAUUUAGUUUCGCUUUAAUUUCCAAUCUUUAGUAAAAAUAUCCGAAACUUUGAUUAUCCUUCUAUUUAUUUUUUAUUGUAUAUAAAUUUUUUUUAUAGUUAUGUUAAUUCAAUACGUAGGGCAAAUUAAGUUAAGAAAAUGAGGGACGGACGAUAGUUAAGGGACCUUGACUCGUUGCCUUCGAACGGGAGAUCGUUAACUGCGGAUAGAACGAAUGACACCUUUCGAUUAGAUCGUGGAUUAACGAUCUCACACUCGAUGUUGAUUGGCUUUCAAUCUGCUAGGAAUUAACUUCUGUUACGAAACUACUAUUAAAUCUACAUUAGUCGGUACGAAGAUCUAGACAUACAAUGUCUUUCAUAUUUUUUCAAUAAAUUGUCUUCGCAACAUAAAAUAAAGUUUUAACGAAACAACACCUACAAACCUAAGCCUUGAGACAUCGGUAAAAUGCAUAGUAGCUAAUCACCAUAUCGAAGAGGAGAAAUGAGCUCGUAUGGGGAAAAUCGGCGGCGUAUUCGCGGGCAUAGAACGAUCGAGAUAUCGGGUAGGCCAUGGAAGUAGGUCAACGUCGUGUGGGCAAGACGGAGAACCAAGUUCAGGGGCGAACUGCAGCGCCGUGCCCGAAGCACACGGACUCUCCUGGUGGCUUAGGUUAGGUCUUCUCACUCGUUCUUUCUCCAACGUGCAUACCUCCCUCUCGAGAAGGAGGCGCAACGCGCACGCGGACACGAUGGAGCGAACAGAGACGGCGGAGGCGGUCUAACGGACUUCUCUGGUCUGCCUAGUUUUAUUUUUCCACUGGACCCGGAGCGUGUGGCCAUUCGUUCCGUUCCUCUCUCGCACUCGUCCUCGCACACCACCACCCGGUUGGAUACACUUCUACAAGCGGCUGCCGCCGUCGAAGAGGGAGAGAGUGGCGUUUCACGACAUCGUUCUCGUUUUCUCUUUCUCCCCCUUGAAACGAUCUUGGCCUAGGCGCUUUCUCCGUGGCGAGAAAAAAGGGGACGAUCCCUACAAGUAACGUUUUCGGAUGAACUUGGCCCAGAAAUGGCCCCCAGUGGAAAGUGCAAGUGAAACCUCUCUCUCGAAAGAGAGAGCCGUCUAUCGCUUCAUCUUCCACUUCCAUUUGUUCCUCUAACGUAGUCACAUUUCACGUUCUAUCCAGCGAACUCUAUGAGUUCCUCGAUACGAUCGAUUGUUCCGCGUGAACGUGAACUCGCUCCAUUUCCUUUCUUCAUCUUCAUUGCCGUAAGAUCGUUCUUAGUAAAUUGCCUAAGGCGAGAGAAUCGUUAGCUCUCAGGAUUACUCACGGUAUCUUUUCCUAUGACCGUUUCUACGAAUCCGAUCCAUGCGCAGAUCGAAUGGACAAAAAGACGGAGUUCUGACGUCGCGACCUCGGCGAAAUCGUCGCGAAGGCCGUUCGACACGGUUCGCGCAGCUGGUUCGCAACUGGACGCCGGAAGAUAUAUUGUAUCGAUUAGCAAUAAAACGCGCACACCGUUCGCGAAUAAACGGCACAGACAACUAGGUUGCUAGGUAGGUGGGUGAAGUAGGUAGAACGUAGGUAGCCGGUAACGCGUCACUCGUCUCUCUGUUCCGCAGCCCUGUGUAUAUAGAGACCAGCAACAACGUCACUGCCGUCCGAGGAAUCCGGAUCGUUGCGCGAUCGAACCGAGCUCGCGACCGCGAUCCAUGCCCCUCGAUAGAAGCAAGGAACACAAGAAUGGAAGCUUCGCACUGCCAUGGACAUCAGUCACCUAGUCGCUGCUGCUCUUCGUUCGUCGUUUGUCGAGCAAGCAAGUGAGCGCGAGGACUGGAUGCGUUUAAACCGUCGAAUCUCGCCGUUGCACCCGGCGGUCUGCAGGGUUGUCCGUUUCGACGCGCGUUCGUUUAACUUUCAGCCGCCCUUUCAUUUAUAGCGCAGGCGACCUUGAAAAUGUUACUAUUUUUUUUAUUACUAUUAUUAUAAUUAUUUAAAUCGUAAUAUUAAGGGGCACUAAGGCACCGUUAUAAAUAAUAUAAAUAUAUAUAAUAUAAAUAUGUACAUGUAUGAAAACGUAGGUGCGGACGAAGGAUCCUAAAACACAAUGACUGCGAACUUCCGCAUCCCGUAUCUCUGCUACCGCUGGAAAAUUGUUGUCAUUACUCUCCGAUAGUUACUUGGUUACUGUAAAGACACACUACAUACCCACACAUACAGAUACACCAACAGACGCGUUCAAGUACACGCGAUGUACUUACACACACACAUACACACACACACAGAAGCAUACACUGGCCGUACAAACACCAGGACUAAACGUGUAUCCAGUUGAAUUUACUAAACGUUCGUCGGCUUGUUCGGCGGGUAACGUGUAUCCAGUCUGAUUGCAUUUAAAAGCAGAGUAGAACGUGGCCAAGCACGUUUUAGUAAAUUCAAUGAAAAAUGUUGUUCUUUCCGUAUGUUACUGCUAUUACCACCGCUAUUACUACCGCCACUAUAUCGUCGCCUGUUACACCGCAAUUACGCGCUACCAGUAUACUACUUAUUCGCCGAUAUAGCCGUUA
This is a long non-coding RNA of Bombus huntii, 5837 nucleotides long. RefSeq lists it as uncharacterized. The transcript has 2 exons. The record is from RefSeq and is a predicted model, not a curated record. Lineage: Eukaryota; Metazoa; Arthropoda; Insecta; Hymenoptera; Apidae.